AUGGAAAUUUCCCAUUAUGUUCAGCAUAUAUAAAAACAAUUUCUUCUGUAUGCCUACUGGAUAGGCUUGGGGAUGUAGUCUUCUGUGGGGUUUGGAACAGGGCUGCACACCUUUCUGUUUUAUCUGGGCCCACACAGAGCUUCACUUACAUUAGCUGCUUAUGAAUGUAACUCAGUGAAUUUCCUUGAGCCACUCUAUCCUGACCAGAUUAUUUGUCCAGAUGAACAGGGCACUCCAGGAAGCAUUUCCUUGUGGAACAUCAUCUCGAAAGUUAGGAUUGAGGCCUGCAUGUGGGGUAUCAGUACAGCUAUCAUAGAGCUGCCUCCAUACUUCAUGGCCAGAGCAGCUUGCCUCUCAGGCCCUGAACCAGAUGAUGAAGAGUAUCACAAAUUUGAAGAAAUGCCAAGACAUGCAGAGUCUGCACAGGACUUUCCCUCAUGAGCAAAACUCGCAAUUCAAAGACUCGUACAGAAGGUUGGAUUUUUUUUGAAUAUUGGUCUGUGCUUCUAUUCCAAAUCCGCUAUUUGAUCUUGCUAGAAUAAUGUUCAGACAUUUUCUUGUACCUUUUUGGACCUUCUCUGGUGCAACCCCGAUUGGAAAAGCAAUAAUUAAAAUGUAUAUCCAGAAAAUCUUUGUUAUUAUAACAUUCAGCAAGCACAUUGUGGAGCAGAUGGUAGCUUUCAUGGGUGCUGUCCCCUGCAUAGGUCCGUCUCUACAGAAGCCCUUCCAGGAAUACCUUGAGGCCCAGUGGUUGAAGCUACACCACAGGAGCAAAGGUGGUGCACCCUAGAGAGAAAACUGGCUGUCCUGGCUGUUUGAGAAGUUGGUGAUGGUGAUAGUAUAUUACUUUAUCCUGUCUAUCAUUAACUCCAUGGCACAGAGUAAUGCCAAAUGAAUUCAGCAGUGGUGGAACUCAGAGGAGAAAACUAAAUAA
Molecule: RNA transcript, 934 nt
Organism: Octodon degus (degu)
Lineage: Eukaryota; Metazoa; Chordata; Mammalia; Rodentia; Octodontidae
Gene name: vacuole membrane protein 1 pseudogene
Exons: 1
Source: RefSeq, a predicted model, not a curated record